AUGCUCACUUCGGCAGCACAUAUACUAAAAUUGGAAUGAUACAGAGAAGAUUAGCAUGACCCCUGCACAAGGAUGACCUGCAAAUUCGCGAAGCAUUCCAUAUUUUU
This 107-nucleotide small nuclear RNA is filed under the name Carlito syrichta (Philippine tarsier). Lineage: Eukaryota; Metazoa; Chordata; Mammalia; Primates; Tarsiidae. The record is from RNAcentral.